Molecule: long non-coding RNA, 639 nt
Organism: Zalophus californianus (California sea lion)
Lineage: Eukaryota; Metazoa; Chordata; Mammalia; Carnivora; Otariidae
Exons: 5
Source: RefSeq, a predicted model, not a curated record
CACCAAGGUUCUCUCUUUCCACACACCAUACAAAAGAGGCCAUAUGAAGACACUGAGAAGUCAGGUGUCUACAAGCCAAGAAGAGAGGCCUCGCCAAAAUCCAACCCUGAUGACACUUUGAUCUUGGACUUCUAGCCUCCUGAACUGGAAAUGACACCAGCUAUUGCUGCCAACUUUCUACCAGCUUUGGAGUAGCCUGGAGGUUACUCUGGAGUAACCAGAGGGAGCCACAUAAAAGAAGGUUUCUCCCUCAUUGUCCCUCAUCUUCUAACGUUGUGAAGCGGGCAGCCCUGGGGACUUCCACUUCCAGGAAGAUGGAGCAGGCAUAAUUUUCCCUAUUUCUUCCACUAAGACUGAAAACAUGUAAAACAAACCUAAGAAGACUCUGUAAGGUGGAAAAGACACGCAGACUGGCUAAAGGACUUAGAAUCUGAGGAACAACAUGAUGGUCAUGCUGGAGCCCCAGUAAAGUCUUGCAUGUCCCUUUGACUUUUGGGUCCAGCCUGGUAGUUUCUAUUGUUGUGGGGUCCAAGAACCCGUCUCCGGUGACAGGAUUCCACCAUCAGUUUUCCUGGAUUUCCAGUUUGCAGAUGGUUGGACUUCUCAGCUUCCAUAAUCAAGUGAGCCAAUUCCAUAUAA